GAUGAACGCUAGCGGGAUGCCUAACACAUGCAAGCCGAGCGGUCUUGUUUCUUCCUUAAUGCUCGAGCGGCGUACGCGUGCGUAACACUUGUGCAACCUUCCUUUAUCUGUGGGAUAGCCUUUCCAAAGGAAGACUAAUACUCCAUAAUAUAUUUAACUUCAUCGUUAAAUAUUGAAAGCUCCGGACGAUUUUGCUGGCCACGCUCAAGAUUAGCGAGCUGGUUAGGUAACGGCUAACCAAGACGACGAACUUUAGGGGGCCUGGGGAGCUGAUCCACCACAAUGGUACUGAGACACAGACCAGAAUGCUACGGGAGGCAGGAGUGAGGAAUGUUAGUCAAUGAGUGCAAGCCGGAACCCGCCAUCCCGCGUGAAGGACGACUGCCCUAGGGGUUGUAAACUUCUAGUGUAGAGGGAUAAACCUACCCUCGAGAGGGUAGCUGAAGGUACUAUACGAAUAAGCACCGGCUAACUCCGUG
This 479-nucleotide ribosomal RNA is filed under the name uncultured bacterium. RNAcentral's name for it is "partial 16S ribosomal RNA". It matches the Rfam family "Bacterial small subunit ribosomal RNA", at positions 28 to 507 of the family's 1533-position model. The record is from RNAcentral.